Molecule: RNA transcript, 502 nt
Organism: Oreochromis niloticus (Nile tilapia)
Lineage: Eukaryota; Metazoa; Chordata; Actinopteri; Cichliformes; Cichlidae
Exons: 3
Source: RefSeq, a predicted model, not a curated record
AUAAAUAAUAAAGGCAUGUAGCAGACCAUAAAAGGACUCAUUCUUCAGAAAUAAGGAGACAAACAUAACACUUAUGGGACUUUAUUAGGCCGCUAGCUGUCUGCUAGGACAUUGUGGCAAUAUGGCUCGGAAAAAACUGUGUCUAAAGGAAGAGCUGAUAAAUCAAUUGUCCGGAUUGUCGGAAAGCGCUGAGAGAAGUGGCUCUGAUGUACAGUGAUGUACACAAAGUGAUGCUGAUCAGAGCCACCCUCAAUAACAAAACACUUUCAAAGGAGUCCAAGAUGUCUUUGUGCUACCCACCUCCUCCCCAUCAUUGCAUCUCAUCACCGUGGCUCCGUUCAAGCCUCCAUCUUUGUCUCCACCAACAGCGUCUAGACUCUGAGGGGUCCUGCUCUAAUCCCUGUGACCGUUGGGGUUCUGUUCCACCGAGACGGACCAUUGGAGUCUAACCGCCACAUACCUUUAUCUAAUGUCUGUACAUCAAUAAAUCAUGUUAAUUUCU